Molecule: long non-coding RNA, 2211 nt
Organism: Zea mays
Lineage: Eukaryota; Viridiplantae; Streptophyta; Magnoliopsida; Poales; Poaceae
Exons: 1
Source: RefSeq, marked validated
GGCACUUCCUUGAGCCGUCGGACCACAAGCCUUCUCUCUCCACUCGGCUUCAUCCCAUCUCCCUGCUGAAUUUUUUGCCGUGCGCGCUCUGCGUCCUCAUCUCGUAACCGCCCGUGGAGUCUUCAAAUAUCCAGUCCCUGCGCCGCGCCCCUCUGCUGCUUGCUCUGGUGCUGCGUGCGCGUUCUCCCAUGGCGCCGGUCCGUCCUCCUCUUCCAGCCGCGCCCAGGCCCUCUCCUUCCUCCCUCAGCCCCUGCGCUCAGAAUUCCUCUGCUCCUCUUCAUUCUCCAGCCGGUUCCCUGCGCACGUGCUCCAGCUCCGGCUGGAUCUUCCUCUGGCGGCCGUCGGUCGGAGCUCCCUGGCCGCGCUGCGCCCUGCUCCCUUUGUCUCCCCUAGCGCGCGAGCUCUUGGGUGCGCGCCUGGAUCCCUGCUGAGCUCGGUUCCAUGGCCGCGAUCCAGCUCGCCCAGCCCCAGCCGUUCCUCCUCCUGUAGCUCGCCCCUGCGCGUGCGUCUUCUCGCGUCGUCCCUGCGUCACGCGCGCGUUCCUUCCUGUGCGCGCCAGCAGCCGCGUCUCUCUGGUGUUUCCUCCCUGCGCGCAUGAAAUUUCCUUGCUCGCUGGGGCGCUUGAUCCGUGCUCCACUGUGCCGUAUUGUUUAUCUGCACGCGUCAAGUUCCCACGCCGAGUUCGCCCGAGUCGCAGACCUGUGUGUCCUCAUCGCGCCUACUGCUCGUCGGGUCAAGCCCCAUGUUGCCGUGCCGCGUCGUCAUCACUUCCUGUCGCGAGCUUGAUCCUUGUUGUCAUCGGGUUUUGUGCGUGCUCGCGUUUGCCGUCGAGUCAUUGAACCCAUCAUCCCCUGCUCAACCCUACCCCGCCAGCUCGCUCGAGACACAAUCUCAUCGUCGUCCCGCGCGUCAUCAAGAAUCCCAAGAAUCGGGUGAAGACGAAGCUAGUAGCGCGAUAUUCCCCAAACACUCGACAAUUGACUGGAUCAGAAAAUCACUACCGAUCUCGCGGAUUCGAGUCGGCUAUUGAAACGGUAAGCUGAUAAAUUAUCCAAAAUAGUUCGAUCGUUGCAUAAAUUGAUGUGCUAGUUCGAGGCGCAUUAAGGUGCUCGAUAAAUUGCGUAAGUCACGAACCUCUCGCCGACUUCGCAGUUCUUGUGAUUAUCGAGCCAGAUUCAGCUAUGUCGAAUUAUUUCGCUAUUCUAGUCACUUAGCUGAAUUAGUGGACCGAGUAGAAUUUUGGUAGGCAUGUGUAAGGUUAAAAUAUUUUAAUCACUUAUAAAGAUGUAGAAUAAUUCAUAAAACGAGGGAUAAGUUUAGAAUUCAAUUAAUUAACUGAUAAGUUGUGGUUAGGCUAAUUGUAUUAAAGGUGUAUAAUUUGUUGUUUUGUGAUGUUCGCGUUAGGUUCGGUUAAUCUAAAGAAACGUAAUUAUUGCACGUAGUCAUAUAUUAAUAACUAGUGUUUCCGUAUGAAAUUGUACAACGCCUCGCCGCUAGGUGUUUAAAUUCGCCAUCGCGUAGCACUAUUUAGGGUUUUUGAUAUUCCUGUCUAUAUGUAUUCAUGUGCAUAAUGCAUUUCAUUCAGGUGCGAUAAUUAAUCACGUGAUGCGGAAGAUGACUCAAGUCGACCCCAAGCGCGGGCUAACCCGCGGGAUGAUGUUGAUGGACGGAACCGAAGAUGGAAAAUCUAGCGAAUGUCAAGACAGAAGAUGGUCGUCAAGCGGACGUCGUCUAACAAACACUAACGUAGUGUUUAUUCCAGGCAAGCCCCGGUGCAUUUGCCCCUUCCUUGUGUUUUAAAUGCUUUUUCACCUUAUCUGAUGCAUUAGGUGAUAGGAGUUGUGUGAUAAACAAUUGAUGCAUUACCAUUCCUUGGAAACUCCUUAAUCCCGGUUUUAUAAAAAGAACUGAUAAUGCUUAGCCCUGCUUAGAAACUGAAAAAUCAUUUGUUUUCAAAAAGAAUGAUUGUGGAACAUUGGUUAUGGGCCUUUCGUUUCAAAAAUCAAAGCAAACUUAUGGUGAUGAUUCCACUUCGGCCGGAGUGGGUUCAUCAUUUGGAAAAGAGUACCCCUGUCGGGUACCAAAAAUGGGAAAAUGGUUUGAAUACAUCUAGACCAGACGCUGAGCGGACGUGGUCGCCCGUCUGUGUCGAUUAAGGACCGUUCGAUGUAGGCCUGUUGUGGUGGAGACCUUGCAACUAGCCACAUGCUC